AGUUCAGACCCUUAAGCAAAGAUGUAGUUCUGCUUCUGACCAGCUGUUCAAGUUUGGGAAACAAUUGCCAAGUAUGGAUUCUUUGUUGAGGCUUUGAACAUGAAGGAUUUAUAAAUAAAAGACAUGAUCAAGGCAAAGAAAUACCCUGGGACCGGUGAUGCAGAUCCUGAUUGACUAGGUCCUGGAAGCCAAGUGAGAAAGAGUGCUAACUGCUGCUGAGAGAUCAAGAAGGCUUCCUGACCAGCAUCACAGAGCAAGUAAUCUAUUGCUAAAUCCGCCUGUCAUCCUGGCUGGGGCCAAGGAAAAUCAAGGGAUGGCAAAGCUUUGGAGAA
Leopardus geoffroyi (Geoffroy's cat) is the source of this 332-nucleotide long non-coding RNA. RefSeq lists it as uncharacterized. The record is from RefSeq and is a predicted model, not a curated record. The transcript has 4 exons. Lineage: Eukaryota; Metazoa; Chordata; Mammalia; Carnivora; Felidae.